Molecule: non-coding RNA, 135 nt
Organism: Thalictrum thalictroides
Lineage: Eukaryota; Viridiplantae; Streptophyta; Magnoliopsida; Ranunculales; Ranunculaceae
Source: the annotation of a GenBank genome assembly
AAAAAAGCAGGGUUUCGUUGUCUUUUUUUAAGAACGAAUCUCUCGUAGACUUCAGGAAAAACAAAUUCAUUGUUUUUGGGUGAACCUAUGGAUUUUUGUAAAGUACCAAUGGGUUCAGUUAAUGAUGAAACAUUU